Molecule: ribosomal RNA, 501 nt
Filed under: uncultured bacterium
Lineage: Bacteria
Description: bacterial SSU rRNA
Rfam family: Bacterial small subunit ribosomal RNA
Source: RNAcentral
CAGGAUGAACGCUAGCUACAGGCUUAACACAUGCAAGUCGAGGGGCAGCAUUGGAGUAGCAAUACUCAGAUGGCGACCGGCGCACGGGUGAGUAACACGUAUCCAACCUGCCGCUUACUCGGGAUAGCCUUUCGAAAGAAAGAUUAAUACCCGAUGGUAUAAAGAGUUCGCAUGUUCUCUUUAUUAAAGAAUUUCGGUAAGCGAUGGGGAUGCGUUCCAUUAGAUAGUUGGCGGGGUAACGGCCCACCAAGUCUACGAUGGAUAGGGGUUCUGAGAGGAAGGUCCCCCCACAUUGGAACUGAGACACGGUCCAAACUCCUACGGGGAGGCAGCAGUGAGGAAUAUUGGUCAAUGGACGAGAGUCUGAACCAGCCAAGUAGCGUGAAGGAUGACUGCCCUAUGGGUUGUAAACUUCUUUUAUAAGGGAAUAAAGUGAGGGACGUGUCCCUUUUUGUAUGUACCUUAUGAAUAAGGAUCGGCUAACUCCGUGCCAGCAGCAGC